ACGUAGGGUGCAAGCGUUGUCCGGAAUUAUUGGGCGUAAAGAGCUCGUAGGCGGUUCGUCGCGUCGGCUGUGAAAACCUGAGGCUCAACCUCAGGCCUGCAGUCGAUACGGGCGGACUUGAGUACUGCAGGGGAGACUGGAAUUCCUGGUGUAGCGGUGAAAUGCGCAGAUAUCAGGAGGAACACCGGUGGCGAAGGCGGGUCUCUGGGCAGUAACUGACGCUGAGGAGCGAAAGCGUGGGGAGCGAACAGGAUUAGAUACCCUGGUAGUCCACGCCGUAAACGUUGGGCGCUAGGUGUGGGGGCCAUUCCACGGUCUCCGUGCCGCAGCUAACGCAUUAAGCGCCCCGCCUGGGGAGUACGGCCGCAAGGCUA
Molecule: ribosomal RNA, 374 nt
Filed under: uncultured bacterium
Lineage: Bacteria
Description: bacterial SSU rRNA
Rfam family: Bacterial small subunit ribosomal RNA
Source: RNAcentral